UGGGAAGUAUAGCUUUCCCCUCAAGUGUGC
Molecule: non-coding RNA, 30 nt
Filed under: Rattus norvegicus (Norway rat)
Lineage: Eukaryota; Metazoa; Chordata; Mammalia; Rodentia; Muridae
Source: RNAcentral